AAAUCGCGGACUACGCACGUAGGGUCAAAGAGCAGACGGCUUUCGGACGAGGGUUCGAUUCCCUCCGCCUCCAAAA
Molecule: transfer-messenger RNA, 76 nt
Filed under: Verrucomicrobiaceae bacterium
Lineage: Bacteria; Pseudomonadati; Verrucomicrobiota; Verrucomicrobiia; Verrucomicrobiales; Verrucomicrobiaceae
Description: partial transfer-messenger RNA
Rfam family: transfer-messenger RNA
About the family: Bacterial tmRNA, also known as 10Sa RNA or SsrA, is named for its dual tRNA and mRNA-like properties.
Source: RNAcentral